GAAAGGUGGCCGAGUGGUUUAAGGCUCUAGUCUUGAAAACUAGCGAGGUUAAUAGCCUCCGUGGGUUCGAAUCCCACCCUUUCC
This 84-nucleotide transfer RNA is filed under the name uncultured Phascolarctobacterium sp. It matches the Rfam family "tRNA". From Rfam's summary of the family: Transfer RNA (tRNA) molecules are approximately 80 nucleotides in length. The record is from RNAcentral. Lineage: Bacteria; Bacillati; Bacillota; Negativicutes; Acidaminococcales; Acidaminococcaceae.